AUGUUUUUGGACCCAAGCUUAACUUUUCAAAUGUGGAAUGCUAGGCCUUCAUUGGAUUCCCAAGCAUCUAAAGCUUCCAGCAGGACUGGGUACACAAGCGCCACAAGCGGGAUUCUCCGCAGGCCCCUGACAGCCGCUGCACGUACACUGUCCUCUGCGCAGAACAUCAUUCCAACUAUCCAACCUGCCAGGCAAGCAUCUACAACACCUGGUUCAAGACUCACCUCUUCCCUGGUCCCUCCUCCUUCCAUUUCCCUGCACACACCAUCAAAUAAGCUAAUCAUUUUCUCCUCUGUUCUGCUCCUAUACUUCAGUGAUAGACUUGGCAAAGGUCUAAGAAGGCAUCCCUUUCUCACUCAUUCAGCAAACAUGUACUUAGCACCAUUGCUAGGCUAGGAGUAUGCCCUGUAUUGUGCCUCUUAAUUAGAUCGCAGAAUCUCACAGCCCUCAGUAGGCCUCCAAGACUGGAAUGCUGUAGACUCUCCUCUGUCCAUGGUGUUGGGGAUCUUUUCUGCAUCGACCAGCCUUGUUCACAAUCUAAUCCGGAAUUCACAGUCCCUGCCCCUUGUGCGACCCUCUCAACAGGCCCUUCAAGUCCUGUAGUUCCAAGUGCAAGCUCCUUGAUUUUUGUUUGAUUUCAGGAUUCCCAAGCAUCUAAAGCUUCCAGCAGGACUGGGUACACAAGCGCCACAAGCGGGAUUCUCCGCAGGCCCCUGACAGCCGCUGCACGUACACUGUCCUCUGCGCAGAACAUCAUUCCAACUAUCCAACCUGCCAGGCAAGCAUCUACAACACCUGGUUCAAGACUCACCUCUUCCCUGGUCCCUCCUCCUUCCAUUUCCCUGCACACACCAUCAAAUAAGCUAAUCAUUUUCUCCUCUGUUCUGCUCCUAUACUUCAGCUACGUUGCGGCCCACAGCUAGAAAAAAAGGCACUCCUUCCUCAAGACACUUGACCACCACCUGCUGGAAAUUUAGGGUAAAUGCUCUACAAAUCUCUGCCACUUACAGAAGUGAAGGUGCAUACUGGGUUUGGGUAGGGUGCUGCUCGCAUGACUGCAGGCAGGGCGCUGCCUUUUGCAAUGAUCACGAUUGAGGGGAUUUAAACAUUCCCCUCUGUGUCCCGGGUGCCCUGGCUUCCACUUGGGCUGAAGAAAUGCUUGCUUAAUGAUACUGGGGCAAGCCCUUGUUACCUUAGACUUGAGGCACCUGGUUUUGUGGGUGAAUGAUCUCUAAAUCCAUCUGUUUUAAAGGAAGGCAACCAAACUCCCCACAAGCUGUCAGAAUAACCAGAGGGUCUCAGGGGGAUUUGCAGUGGGGCCAGCGACCCUUCAGUCUGUUAUCUCUGCUCAAAGGCCACCACCAUAGGAACAGACCAGAGCAACUCCACAUUCCUCCCCAUAGUAAACCUCAAGUUGAGAAUAUGAUGGAGAAUUGGAGCAGGUGCUGUGUCCAGGGCCAGCUCCUUGUAUGUUGUGGGGAGGCAGAGGUGGCCACACAGGGGUCCUUGCAGGGAGCUGGGGGUUUUGUGGGAAGUCCAUCAGUGAGCACGCAGCUGACUAGACAGGGUAAGCAAGGAUGUUGAUUCACUAUCAUCCAUAUUUUCCUAAGCCAUGCCCUUUUAUUAAGCCACAUCACCAAAAACCAGUACCCCAGUGACAUCUGGGACUUCAUAAAGUGGUCUCAAUAGAGCUCCAUCUAGCUGUUACACUUGCAGGUGGGGGCAGGAAGGGGGACAUGCUUUUACUAGGGUCCUUAUGUUCCCAGAACCAUCUGGCAUAGCGUUCAUGUCCCACAGUCUCCCAGACAGGUACCCCUCUUUGGUAACCUUAAUGAAGGAAGAGGGCUGAUCCUUUCCCUCUCUGCCCUGGCUGCCAGGAAGCCCAGAGACAGUUUCUGUAGCUUUCCUGAACCAGGAUUGCUUCUUAUCGCUUCCCUGAUUCCUUCUCCAGGAGUGCUUGUUUUGGGCUGUUUGUCUUUUCCACUGUGGGGAUGGCUUUGGGGGCUGGAUGGGCAGUGAUGUGGCAGAAGAAAGAAGAACCACCAGUGAGCCAGACACACAUGGGUUUCAGUCCCCACCUGUUAACCGUGUCAUCUUAAGCAAGAUGUCUUUACUUCUUCAAUGCUGAGUUCCUUACCUGGAAAACUGGGGAAUGACCAAGAGGAACAGAUAGGUUACUGUGAAGAUUAGACUCUGCCAGUGUGACCUGCACUGUUCCUCUCCCUCCUCCCAGGUCAGGCUUGGCCUGUGGCUCCAGGAUCGGAGUUGGUUUUUCCUUCUUUCUG
This 2285-nucleotide long non-coding RNA is filed under the name Bos grunniens (domestic yak). RNAcentral's name for it is "lncRNA (ENSBGRG00000006429.1)". Lineage: Eukaryota; Metazoa; Chordata; Mammalia; Artiodactyla; Bovidae. The record is from RNAcentral.